Molecule: ribosomal RNA, 468 nt
Filed under: uncultured bacterium
Lineage: Bacteria
Description: partial 16S ribosomal RNA
Rfam family: Bacterial small subunit ribosomal RNA
Source: RNAcentral
GACGAACGCUGGCGGCGUGCUUAACACAUGCAAGUCGAACGGAAAGGCCCUGCUUUUGUGGGGUGCUCGAGUGGCGAACGGGUGAGUAACACGUGAGUAACCUACCCUUGACUUUGGGAUAACUUCAGGAAACUGGGGCUAAUACCGGAUAGGAGCUCCUGCUGCAUGGUGGGGGUUGGAAAGUUUCGGCGGUUGGGGAUGGACUCGCGGCUUAUCAGCUUGUUGGUGGGGUAGUGGCUUACCAAGGCUUUGACGGGUAGCCGGCCUGAGAGGGUGACCGGCCACAUUGGGACUGAGAUACGGCCCAGACUCCUACGGGAGGCAGCAGUGGGGAAUAUUGCACAAUGGGCGGAAGCCUGAUGCAGCAACGCCGCGUGCGGGAUGACGGCCUUCGGGUUGUAAACCGCCUUCGCCUGUGACGAAGCGUGAGUGACGGUAAUGGGUAAAGAAGCACCGGCUAACUACGUG